RNAcentral lists this ribosomal RNA (253 nucleotides) under uncultured bacterium. RNAcentral's name for it is "partial 16S ribosomal RNA". It matches the Rfam family "Bacterial small subunit ribosomal RNA", at positions 524 to 776 of the family's 1533-position model. The record is from RNAcentral.
UACGUAGGGACCGAGCGUUGUCCGGAAUCAUUGGGCGUAAAGAGCGUGUAGGCGGCUCGCUAAGUCUUGCGUGAAAUCUCGGGGCUCAACCCCGAGCGGUCGUGAGAAACUGGCGGGCUAGAGUGCGGGAGAGGAGAGUGGAAUUCCCAGUGUAGAGGUGAAAUUCGUAGAUAUUGGGAAGAACACCGGUGGCGAAGGCGGCUGACUGGUCCGGUUCUGACGCUGAGGCGCGAAAGCGUGGGGAGCAAACAGG